AACUGAAGAGUUUGAUCAUGGCUCAGAUUGAACGCUGGCGGCAGGCUUAACACAUGCAAGUCGAGCGGGGGAAGGUAGCUUGCUACUGGACCUAGCGGCGGACGGGUGAGUAAUGCUUAGGAAUCUGCCUAUUAGUGGGGGACAACAUCUCGAAAGGGAUGCUAAUACCGCAUACGUCCUACGGGAGAAAGCAGGGGAUCUUCGGACCUUGCGCUAAUAGAUGAGCCUAAGUCGGAUUAGCUAGUUGGUGGG
Molecule: ribosomal RNA, 252 nt
Filed under: Acinetobacter baumannii
Lineage: Bacteria; Pseudomonadati; Pseudomonadota; Gammaproteobacteria; Moraxellales; Moraxellaceae
Description: partial 16S ribosomal RNA
Rfam family: Bacterial small subunit ribosomal RNA
Source: RNAcentral